AUUAGUCAAUGCUCGUAAGAGUGAACUAGCUAACUGGAAUCAUGAGUGUGUCACUUGUGAUAAGGUAAAGGAAAAAUUAUGAUGUCACUUUACUAGUAGUGUUGUCCAAAGCUGGUGCCAGAAGACUCGGUAAUGCCAGAGACGCAAGCGUUAGUCAUCCUGAUCAGGCGUAAAGGGUUUGUAGGCAGCUUUAAAAUAAUUAAAGAUAGAAUCAUAUAGAGGUCACUGUUAGAUAAUUCUUAGAGUAGGGUUGAUAUCUGUAGAUACUAAGAGGAAUACUAAUUAGCGAAGGCACUUUUCCAAAUUAUGAUUGACGCUGAGAAACGAAGGGGAGGAUAGAAAAUAGGAUUAGAUACCCUCGUAUCCCUCUCUGUCAACGAUGAAUGGUAGUUGCUAGUAUAAAUUAUUAGUGGCGAUGCUAACGCGUUAACCAUUCCGCCUUGUGAGUACGACUGCAAAGUUGAAAACAAAAAAAUUAGUCGGUUUCGGAGCAAACGAAGUGAAGCAUGUUAUUUAA
Molecule: ribosomal RNA, 517 nt
Filed under: Phallus rubicundus
Lineage: Eukaryota; Fungi; Basidiomycota; Agaricomycetes; Phallales; Phallaceae
Description: SSU rRNA
Rfam family: Bacterial small subunit ribosomal RNA
Source: RNAcentral